RNAcentral lists this ribosomal RNA (774 nucleotides) under uncultured Neocallimastigales. RNAcentral describes it as "partial large subunit ribosomal RNA". It matches the Rfam family "Eukaryotic large subunit ribosomal RNA", at positions 24 to 618 of the family's 3401-position model. The record is from RNAcentral. Lineage: Eukaryota; Fungi; Neocallimastigomycota; Neocallimastigomycetes; Neocallimastigales.
UAUCUCUGUAGAGUCUGCAUAUCAAUAAGCGGAGGAAAAGAAACUAACCAGGAUUCCCUCAGUAACGGCGAGUGAAGCGGGAAGAGCUCAAAUUUGAAAUCUUCAAGGUUUUACCUUGACGAAUUGUAGUUUAAAGAAGUGUUUUCUGUUGGAGUUUUGGUAAAAGUUCUUUGGAAUAGGACAUCAUAGAGGGUGAGAAUCCCGUAUUUGACCAUUAUUUCCAGCUUUGUGAUACACUUUCAAAGAGUCGGAUUGUCUGGGAAUGCAGUCCAAAGUGGGUGGUAAAUUUCAUCUAAAGCUAAAUACUGGCGAGAGACCGAUAGCGAACAAGUACCGUGAGGGAAAGAUGAAAAGAACUUUGAAAAGAGAGUUAAACAGUACGUGAAAUUGUCAAAAGGGAAGCGUUUGACACCAGUGUUGUUUCUACGAAAAUCAAUUUAUGAUGGCUUGAUGCUAAGCUUUAAGACUUUAUCCGCUUGUUGUUUAGUUUUCUUGUCUUUGUGAAUGCACUUUUCGUGGAACAAGUCAACAUCAAUUUCUUUUGUUGUAAAAGAGGUCAUUGGGAGGUGGCUUUCUUUUCGGAGAAAGUGUUUAUAGCCUUUGGCUUCUGCAAUCGGAGAGGUUGAGGUCUGCAGCGUAGAUCCUUCGGGGUUAGAUACAUUUGUGCUAAGUUAUAGCCUUUCAUAGACAACUUGUUGACUAUGAUCAGUCAUGUAGCUUACUCGCUUAUGCUAUUUUACCUACGCUUAGGAUGUUGAGUCAUCACACAUCUCU